Long non-coding RNA from Apis cerana (Asiatic honeybee), 6487 nucleotides. RefSeq lists it as uncharacterized. The record is from RefSeq and is a predicted model, not a curated record. Lineage: Eukaryota; Metazoa; Arthropoda; Insecta; Hymenoptera; Apidae.
CCUCCUCGUUGGGUGAGACCUGGUAAUUGGCAUCGUUUUCUAAAAAUUGUUUUUUUCAAAAUUAUACAACAAUUACAUUACAGUAUUUUAUUAGAAAAUUUUUGAAAUAUAUAUACUGCUUCAGAAAACGAUGGCAAGCCAAGAACUACGCACACCUGCAGUCCAGUCUAAACUCUGCAUAAUUUCUUUUGAUUAUUUUAAUUAAUUGGAUAGACUGGACUGUAGGUAUUAAUAGAAUAAUUAAUAAAUUAUAUUAAUUAAUUAAGUUCAUUGUAAGUGUAUUCCGUAUCAAAAUAAAUUCUACAAUUUAAAGCGAAAAAAGCUUAGAUUGUAGAUGAUAAUAAAUGAAUAAGCGUAUAUAUACAUAACUAGACAAAUAAAUAAUCGCUAAAUCGAUAAUCGAUAAUCGAUAAAUAAAUCAAUACAUAAUUGAAUUAAUAAAACAAUCAUAAAUAUAGAAGUCAGAUAUAUAGAAUAAUAAAUAUUAAAAAUAUUAAGAAAAUUAGUAAAAUAUAAAUAAAAAUUAGUAAUAUAUAAAUAAAUUAAUAUAUUUAUCUAUUUUUAAUUAGAAUAGUAAAAAUAUAAUGUGAAAUAUUUUAAUUUUUCGCGCGAUUUCGAUUAUCGAAUUGGCUUAAAACAAUCAGCCAAUCAGAAAACGCCAAUUUGAGUUGUAGCAGGUGGCGUCAGUCUCCUGUGGAAAAUCAUCAUGAUAGGACGUAUGAUCGCAACCGCUCUCGCUAAUUCUACGCAUUAUUUUCAGAUUAAUAGUCCAACUUCAAAGAGGGGAAGAAUUGCAAUAUGGACGUCAAUCGUACUUUUUCAAAGAGAAGUUUGAUUUUUCGCUCUUGUACAUUGGUUUCAGGUAUAGGUUAAUUCUCAUUACCGGACUAUGUAUUCAGGAAAUAUGGUUUUUGAAAUUAUCAUCGGUUCAAAAUGGAUAACUAAUGAAAGCAUAUUCGUAUUUCAUUUACUUCUCGUUGUUUGAUUGAAAUUUUUCUGUGGAUGGGCUCUCCGAACUUUUUAGGCUUAGCAUUAGCGUUAGACGAGCAUUUAGAACAUUAGAAUGGAAUUUGACGAAAUUAUUCUGAGUUGGUAUUUCUUAAAAAUAAUAUCAGCCAAAUUGCAUUUAGGAUAAAUUUAAUUAAAUUUAUGGAUGGAUGAAUUUUUUAAAAUAUGAGAUAACGUAUGGAAGUGUUGCUUCGAGUAAAAUAUAUUUGCGAUUGCAUGUAUACUUUUAUUGUAAUGUAAUAUAUACAUGUUAUAUAAUGUAUAUAUUAUUGUUAUAAUAAUAAUAAUGUCGUUGUGUGGUAAUAGUAGCGUUGAUGGGGAAAGUGUUGCUUUUUUUUUUUAUGCAAGUUUGUAAUUAUUAAUAUUUUAUACUUUCAUGACAAUGAAUGUAUAAAAUGUUGGUAUAUUUGUUGUAUGCGAUGUGUGUCUCUUGUAUAGAAUUACGUACAAUUAGAUUAUUGGAGAAUUUAAUUUUUACCUUUAGGUUUAUCUUAAUUACGCAGGCUUUUUCUUUUAGGAUUUUUGUUAUUUGUUUUGCAAAACGAUCAGUGAUUGAAUGUUUUGCGAAAUGUUCUAGUUAUAAGCAAAAUUCAUGGGUAUUGUAUAUUUAUAUGUUUAUUCAUAUAUUUGAUAGUUAGAUCAAUGAUAAUAUUUAGAUCAGGAUAUCUCGUAAUGGAAUUGUGUUUUAUAGAAAGGCAAAUUAGAUAUCUGUUAGAUUUGUUUCUUAUUUAUUUCUUAUAUUGUUUGUUUAGGUUUUUGUUAAAUGAAUAUAUCAUACUUUCAAUUCGUAAUAAAUAUAUGAACAUUUUUUUUUGUAAUGUUUAUAUGUAGUAGCAAAUAAUUUAAUUUUUCAAAGUCGAUAUUUCAGAACAUAGGAUUUCACAUUUUAAAUGUCAAUGUAGGUCCAUAGUCAUGAAUUUAUGGUACUCAACUUCCAUAUCGACUUUGUUUGAUAUUAAUUUCAGUAUUUUGUGCUAGGUCUCGCUACCAUCCUAUUCUGUUUUGUUGGUAACGAUGUGAGUGAGACGAAAAUGGUAAUGUUUUAGGAAUUUGGGCUGUAUAUAUUUCUGAUUUAAUUUGCUUUUAAGAUCUUUUUUGCUGUUUAUUUUACGAUUAAAAAUUAAAGUUUUUAUUAAUCUACGUUAAAAAAAAAUUCAUCAUUGAUAUUGAUUGAAUUUUUAUGCAAUAGGGAUGAAUGGGAUUGUGGAUAUGGUAGAUUUCUUCAAUUCGCGGUUAUAGUCUGGAAAUUACUAUACAAUUCAUAAUUGUAUUCGCGAUAAUUUGAGCAAUAAUGAUUACAAAAUAAUUGUCUUGUAAUUUUUUCCAUCAGUUUGCUAUUUAUAAUGUAUUAAGCAUUAUUUAUGAGAAUUUUCCACGUAUCUAUUAUCGUCAAAAUAUUGUGGAAGGGAGGAGUCUUCAAUAAGAAAAUUAACAAACAUGAUAUCGUUCUUGAUAAGUGUUCUUUAUUUUUUGUAAAAUUAUACAGCCAAAAUAAUGUCAUAAUUUGCAAUGCAAAAUUUAAGAACAUAGACAUUCGAUUCGCGUUUCUUUUUUUGAACGACACGUGGACAUUUUGUUACAUUACUAAAUACGUAUACCGUGCUAAAAUAAUUUUAUAUGUCUUUCCUUGCUCGACGUCAAUUUAAUUUAAGACAUAGAGGAAAAAUGAUUAAAACGCGAUACGCCUCCGUUCGCGCGGAAAUGAUACGCUUCAACCAACGAAAAGCCACUUAAACUAUCUUGUAGGUGUUCUUUAUUCUUUGUAAAAUCAUACAGCAUAAGCGACCGCAGUCUACACAGUGUAAUUAAGCGAGAUACAAGUGACAUGAUCGUUCAACGAUCGGGCAAACGACGACCAGGGUGCCGGUGCAUUCGUACGACGUUCACAGACAGAAAAAAAUUUUAUACUCUAUUUUAUUUUAUGUUGUUAUUAUUAUAAUUAUUAUUAAUAUUAUUAUUAUUAAUAUUAUUAUUAGUAUUAUUAUUAUUAAUAUUAAUAUUAUUAUUAUUAUAUUAUUAUUAUUAUUAUUUUAAAUUAUUCGGCACACUGCUAUCGCAUCGUUCGCCCUACGAAUACAGACACACACACACUUGUGAAUUCAGGUGGUUCGAAAUGCGCAAAGUCUUUCGUAAAAAUUUUACACAAGAAUGUCUGUCGUCCCCCGCGAUGAGCGCAAUUCAAAGGAAAGAAACUUAACGAUUAACUCUGAAAAUACAGACAAAUGUAAAUACACGUACAUCUAAGCCCUAAGAAAAAACUAGAAUCUUCUGCUGGGUUAAUUAUCUAAAAUAUAAUAUAUAUGUGUAUGUACUUUUUUUUUCUCAAUUUUUCUUUUUCCACCUAAACGAUUAUCAAAGUUGCACUGCCGGCAAUUAAAUAUCGAGCGAUGUUUAUGGAUGAAUAAUCGAAAUGAAAAUCGGCAUUUGUACAAAUAGCUCUGUGGUACGUAAAAUUUGAUUUCCCUACUAUAAUAUAGGUAUAUAAUAUACAUAUAUAUUUAUAUGUUAUAUAAUAUAUAUAAUAGCUAAUAAAUAAUCCUUAGUUAAUUUUAAUUAGUUAAAUCCCGCUUUAAAUCUGACGGUAUCUAUCCAACGCUUAAAAUAUUAAAUCACUUAUAUAUUUUAUACGUCGUCCGCAAUUUUUCAAAAAGGAAAAGAAACACUCGUCCUCCUCUCUGUUUUAUUUCGUUAACUGCUAUAUUCUUAUUUAAUAAUGAUUUACAAUUAUGUAAAUUUGACAUUUUAUCAAUUGCAUUUAAAUCGUCAUUCGUGGAACAAAAUAUCGUAGUUCGCGAAAAAUUCGAUGGAGUUCGACGAGAUAAAUGCAAACGAUGAUUGAAAUGCGCGAUUUGAAAGGAUCUACGACGACGAGAAUAGAGAAAACGUUGCUUGAGGUUUGCAAGAAACGUUUCUGAACUUAUAGAUUUAUAGGAUCUAACUUUGGUUUGGUACUUUACGUAUUUUUUCGGGUCGAAUUCUUAUGAAUUCAAAUGCAAAAUGUUUUUCUUUUUUUUAAAUUCUUAGAAAUUAAAAAUUAAAUUUUUUUUAUACAUAAAUAAUUUUAGAAUCCGAGAUAAAAAAAAACUUAUUGAAAGAAACUUUUGAGAUGAUAGUUUAAAAAUAUAAACGAAUAAAAUUCUUAGUUAGGUAGUGAAAUAUACAAUUUUUAAUAAUGUUAUUUAUUUUAAUUAUUUAAAAAUAUUAUUACUAUUUAAUAGAUAAAAGUUAAAAUCAUUUUGUUUGAGAAAAAAUCUUUGAUUUAUAUUUUAUUUUUUAAAUUUUAGGUCAUAUUUUUAAUAGAAUGUAAUUAAUUAACGAAUUAUAAAUGAAACUAAAUCAGUUUCAAAAUAAGCUUCACGAGACCUUUGAUCGAAAAUAUGAGUAAAAAUACUUUACCAAAGUUUAGCAUUCCAUUUUAAGAAUAGAGACGUGAGUAUUAUAGGUAGCUACGUAGGAAACGUGUACACGGAGUUUAAUUUCGCGAUUGUUUUGUAUUCCUGCGAGCGAUGUCUUAGUUUCUAAAAAUUCAGAUAAUAACUUUUUAUAUAGAAUCGAUAAUAAUAAUAACAAAGUGACGGUGACAGAAUGAUUGCUUCGAGGAACGAUUUAUUUAAAAAUCUCUUUUCCCUUACGCGUUAAUUAAAACAAAAAGUACGAGGGAAAGUAUCGUUAAUUUUUCAACCAAUUUUUUAUUCAUUGUUACAUAUAAUAAUAAUAUUUCAUUUGCAAUGUUAAUUUAUUUGAGCAUAUGAAUAAAAUUAAUUCACAAAAUUAAAAAAAAUAUAUAUAUACAAUAUUUGUAUAUAAUACUUCAAAAUUUAUGGAAGUUUAGUAUAGUAGAAAAAAAAUGGAAUAUUUGAAAAAGAUAUUUAAAAUUAUUUCGAUUUUUGAUUUUUGCUACUAGUUCUCACGAGAAAUACACACUUAAAUUUUACUCGAAUUGCUUUCUCGAUUCAUCGAAUUAAUUAGUUCAGAAAUGAACAAAUCUGAGACAAACGAAGAAAAGUCGGACAAGUUUUCGGGGACGCACGAGUUGAAAAUGCCAUUUUUAAUUGGACCACUAUACGCAAUAUGAUAUUUCUUUCUGUCGUAAAAAUGUAUGUAACAUAUCUACAAAAUAUACAAAUAAUUACGCGAGAAUUAAAAAAUCGAUGAACUACAGCUGUUCGAUCAAUUUACGAAUAAUUAUUAAAUUGGAUUUAAUUAAUGUCGAGGAACGCGACUUAAAUUAAUCGUAUUACACGUCUGCUUCUUUGGUCAAGGGACUAAAAUACGAGAUCCUCAAUGACUUUGUAAUUAAUCGUUGCAAAUUAUUCGACUUUCUCGCACUUAUCUAUCAGUCGAAAAAAAUUGAUCCACAUAUCGGGUUUUGGACGUUGAGAUUUUUAUAAUUAAUUUUAUAAGUUUACAACACAAUUGAACAUGUAGAACAUGUAGGACAUGAUAAAGUUAUUCUUUUUAAUAUAGAUAAUAUAAAUGGCACUUAUGAAAAUAGUUUUAAGAUUCUUCUUUUUUUCUUUCUUUUUUUUUUUUUUUUUUUUUUUGGAAAGAAUUUAAAAAUUUGCAUAAUCAAAGUCGAAUUAGUUUUGCUUAGAUUUCCCUUGGAACAUUUAUAUUAUACAUGCGUACGAUUUAAAGAAUGAAACUUAGGUUAGGAUAAUUUGUAAACCUAUUUCUUAUUACUGGUAAUUAAUAUAUAUUCUCCAAUUCCUUAUUAAUUUUGAUAUUUAUUACUCGUAUUGAACGUAUCGUAGGAGAUAGGAACACAGUUGCAAAUUGUGAACUGAAAGAUAUUUAUGUAAGGACAAAGAGAUUUCCAACGAAAUUCUGAUAUGAGUUAAAUUUGAUUAAAUCCCUAUAUAUAAUUUAACAUAUUUUUCAAUUAUUAUGUUACAUGGAAUUUUAAUUUGAUGAUUUACUCUUUAAAACGUGAUUCUUUUUUUCUUUUUUUUUUGUUUUUUUUUUUAUUUUUUUAAUAACAAAACAGUUAUUACUUCGUAUAACUGUCUUUUCUAUGUAUUAUUACUCGUAUCACGUGUUUUAUGACGAUUGUACAAUUAUUCAGUACCAAAAAUUUCGUUCUGCUUAAAAUUAAAAGGUUCGUUCAAAUAUAGCAACAAUAUUUCAGACGCGAUUUCUUCGAGAUUUAUUAAACCGCGAAGGGGUAUCAUCGUCAAACUGUACAAUUUUCCAAUAUCUCUCUACUUUCUACGUACAAUCCAUUUGGAAAUUCGUCAACUUUUUUUCUUUAUACCAAAACUGACAAAAGAGAGCUGAGAGGCGUGUGCUGGUGUUUGGAUAUGCAAAUAAAUAUACGAGUCUCGGUCAUCGAGUAUUCGACUCGAUCGAUUUUCUCUUUUUGAUUAAUGUUUCGAUCUUAAAAUAAAGAAAUUUAUAGAGAGAACAUUUUUUACUGCAAGAUAUAAUCAAUAACGGUUAAAUGAAGAAAAUUUUUUUAUAUAAACAAAAAAAAACAAAA